UUUUUUUUUGAAUUAGGAUCUAUUUUAUUAUACAAAUCCGAUUCGAGAUCCAUUAAUAUGUAAGGCUCUUAGCGUAACUCGGGAAAACGAGAGACAGGUAAGGAAAAUAAAGGAAAAUGUUGAGAAUUGCUUGAGAGAGGGGAACUCAAUGUUCGAGUAAUUUUCUGAUUUUUUUUUCUUUUCUCUCAUUCUUUCAAGAUCCAAAAUGGGGCUAAUCGUCAAUUCUAUGGUUCUUUUCUUUUUCUCCACUAAGUUUCUUUACUUUCUCUUCCCUUGCACCGAUUUUAUACGUUAUCUGAUAGUUGUUUGAUUGUUCCUAAGUAGGUUCUUCUAAAUCUGCACUUUAAUGAACAAUAUUCCUGCCCCUUUGAUCUUUACAUUAGGUUGUUGUUUAGUAUUUGGGAAAAAUAGAUCCUGGAAGCUAUUGAAAAUCUUUGGUACUAAUAUUAUUGCAGCACAAGAGCAUAGCCUUUUUGUUGAUAAAACAUCCAUUGGCUUCUUCAGAGUGAUGGAAAAUGGCUGCCUUUUGGGACAUGAUUUCUUAGGAAUAGGCUCAAUUUUCCUGCUUUAUUUA
This 574-nucleotide long non-coding RNA is filed under the name Vitis vinifera (wine grape). Its description in RNAcentral is "long non-coding RNA (VVIN_LNC004633)". The record is from RNAcentral. Lineage: Eukaryota; Viridiplantae; Streptophyta; Magnoliopsida; Vitales; Vitaceae.